AUUGAACGCUGGCGGCAUGCCUUACACAUGCAAGUCGAACGGCAGCACGGGAGCAAUCCUGGUGGCGAGUGGCGAACGGGUGAGUAAUAUAUCGGAACGUGCCCGGUCGUGGGGAUAACGUAGCGAAAGCUACGCUAAUACCGCAUACGAUCUACGGAUGAAAGCGGGGGAUCGCAAGACCUCGCGCGAUUGGAGCGGCCGAUAUCAGAUUAGGUAGUUGGUGAGGUAAAGGCUCACCAAGCCGACGAUCUGUAGCUGGUCUGAGAGGACGACCAGCCACACUGGGACUGAGACACGGCCCAGACUCCUACGGGAGGCAGCAGUGGGGAAUUUUGGACAAUGGGCGCAAGCCUGAUCCAGCAAUGCCGCGUGCAGGAUGAAGGCCUUCGGUUGUAAC
This 397-nucleotide ribosomal RNA is filed under the name uncultured bacterium. RNAcentral's name for it is "bacterial SSU rRNA". It matches the Rfam family "Bacterial small subunit ribosomal RNA", at positions 30 to 429 of the family's 1533-position model. The record is from RNAcentral.